UUUGAAGAUAUAAAUAGUCUGGCCUGCUCACUGAUGAAUUAUUUGUUAAAGAGCCGCGGUAUCUUGACCGUGCAAAGGUAGCAUAAUCAUUAGCUCUUUAAUUGGGAGCUCGUAUGAAAGGUUGGACAAAGAAAAAACUGUCUUUGCUGUAAAAAUUGAACUUAACUUUUAAGUGAAAAGGCUUAAAUAAUUUAAGGGGACGAUAAGACCCUAUAAAGCUUUAUAUAGAAUUAAAUUUGGUUAAAUUAAAAGAAAUAAAAUCCUAGUUUAAUGAUUAUAUUUUGUUGGGGCGACAUGAGUAUAAAUAAUUUAACUGCUUAAGCAAUAAACAAUAGAUUAGUGAGUUAAGGUUUAAAUGGUCCUUUUUUAAGAUUAAAAGACUAAGUUACUUUAGGGAUAACAGCGUUAUUUCUUUUGAGAGCCCAUAUCGAAAAAGAAGAUUGCGACCUCGAUGUUGAAUUAAAAUGUCUCUAUAAUGCAGCUGUUAUAGUAGAAGGUCUGUUCGACCUUU
RNAcentral lists this ribosomal RNA (511 nucleotides) under Platyxanthus orbignyi. RNAcentral describes it as "partial 16S ribosomal RNA". It matches the Rfam family "Bacterial large subunit ribosomal RNA", at positions 1834 to 2589 of the family's 2925-position model. The record is from RNAcentral. Lineage: Eukaryota; Metazoa; Arthropoda; Malacostraca; Decapoda; Platyxanthidae.